This is a long non-coding RNA of Nyctereutes procyonoides (raccoon dog), 923 nucleotides long. RefSeq lists it as uncharacterized. The record is from RefSeq and is a predicted model, not a curated record. The transcript is spliced from 3 exons. Lineage: Eukaryota; Metazoa; Chordata; Mammalia; Carnivora; Canidae.
CCGGAGUCAGCCCCUUGCUGCCCUCCCGACCUGGCUGUGAGGAGGGAGCGAGCGUCCACCGCCUACGGGAGGGUCUUCUCAGGAUCCAGGCCGAAUCUUACGGAGCUGGGAGUUUAAACUUUCCAUUCCUGGCUGUGGGGCCAGCAGGCAAAGUGAUGGGGAGAUACAAAUCAGUAAGCAGGCGGCCUUGGCGUUCGGACGAAGACACAGAGAGAGGCAGAGACACAGGAAGAGGGAGAAGCAGGUUCCAUGCAGGGAGCCCGAUGUGGGACUCAAUCCCGGGACUCCAGGAUCACGCCCUGAGCCGAGGCCAGAUGCUCAACUGCUGAGCCACCCAGGCGUCCUAGUGUAUCACCAUUUAAGUGAAAAAAGAGUUCCACAAGAGCAAUGCAGAGCAGCCCAGAUGGAUUCUAUGCACAUAGUGGAGUUUGUAUCAUAGCAGAGGAACACUGAAUUGGAGAAGCUGCUGCUUUUAUAGAUAAGCAGUAAGCAAGCUUGCUUUUUCUUAGAGAGAUGUACCUCUCUUCUCACAACCUUGAGAAAUGGACCACUGAUGUAAUACGUAUUUGUAUAUUUAUAAAGAAUGGUUUAAAAACACUGCGAUUUGUGCAAAUGUAUGUACCACACACUACUGCUAUCUCUGUUUAUCAUAUUUAAAAAAUUGGAAAUUAUUUGUUUUAACGUCUUCCAUAUUGAGUUAACUAAAUUUGGUUGUAUUCAUACAUUAAAAUACUGUAUUGACUUUUAAAAGAAUAAGAUUAGGGGAUCCCUGGGUGGCGCAGCGGUUUAGCGCCUGCCUUUGGCCCAGGGCACAAUCCUGGAGACCUGGGAUCGAAUCCCUCAUCGGGCUCCCGGUGCAUGGAGCCUGCUUCUCCCUCUGCCUGUGUCUCUGCCUCUCUGUGUGUGUGUGUGACUAUCAUAAA